GAUGAACGCUAGCGAUAGGCCUAACACAUGCAAGUCGAGGGGCAUCACGGAGUAGCAAUACUUUGGUGGCGACCGGCGCACGGGUGAGUAACGCGUAUGCAAUCUACCUACAACAGGGGGAUAACCCGGAGAAAUCCGGACUAAUACCGCAUAACACAGGGGUCCCGCAUGGGAAUAUUUGUUAAAGAUUUAUCGGUUGUAGAUGAGCAUGCGUUCCAUUAGGUAGUUGGUGAGGUAACGGCCCACCAAGCCUGCGAUGGAUAGGGGAACUGAGAGGUUUGUCCCCCACACUGGAACUGAGACACGGACCAGACUCCUACGGGAGGCAGCAGUGAGGAAUAUUGGCCAAUGGGCGAGAGCCUGAACCAGCCAAAUCGCGUGAAGGAAGACUGCCUUAUGGGUUGUAAACUUCUUUUGUACAGGAAUAAAAAGAGGGACGUGUCCUUCAUCGCAUGUACUGUACGAAUAAGCAUCGGCUAACUCCGUGCCAGCCGCCGCCGUAA
Molecule: ribosomal RNA, 503 nt
Filed under: uncultured bacterium
Lineage: Bacteria
Description: partial 16S ribosomal RNA
Rfam family: Bacterial small subunit ribosomal RNA
Source: RNAcentral